This is a non-coding RNA of Rhamnusium bicolor, 88 nucleotides long. The record is from the annotation of a GenBank genome assembly. Lineage: Eukaryota; Metazoa; Arthropoda; Insecta; Coleoptera; Cerambycidae.
GUCCUGGAGAAUGGUAGCCGAGUGGAUAAAGCGUUUAUAGCGAUUUACUCGGUACUGAAGGUUGAUGGUUCGAUUCCAUCCCAGAACA